UAGUUCAUAGGGUUCCUAAGUUUUGGAAAUUCGCCUUUUAGUUUUUCUCAUAUCAAAAAUGAAGUCGGAGCUCCAAAACCCAUCAUCAGAGCUCGCCGUUCUCUCGCAAAGCACCGAGGACAAGCCGCCGCCAAGAUCCAGGCCGCCUCCGAAGCGAUUUGUGAAGAAUCAGAUUCCCGAUUCCAUCCUUAACGAUCCUGCCUUGAAUGCCGCCAUCUCUCUCCUUCCUUCCAACUACAACUUCGAGGUUCACAAGUGCGUAUGGCGAAUUCUCUCCUCCUCCGCCUCCCGUGUUGCCCUUCAGCUCCCCGAAGGUCUUCUCAUGUACUCUCUUAUCCUCUCCGAUAUCCUCACCACUUUCGGCAAAGCCUCCCACUGCUUCGUUCUUGGCGAUGUCACUUUUGGCGCUUGUUGUGUUGAUGACCUUUCCGCCUCCGCUCUCCAUGCCGAUCUCCUCGUCCAUUACGGCCACAGUUGCCUCGUCCCUAUCGAUUCCACUACCAUUCCCUGCCUCUAUGUUUUUGUAGACAUUGCUAUUGAUGUGCCUCGUCUUGUUAAUACUGUUCGUCUCAAUGUUGAUUGCCUUGAUUCUACAAAUUUGGUGCUUGCUGGGACAAUUCAAUUCGCCUCUGCUAUUAGAGCUUCGAAGAUGGAGCUAGAGAGACAUGGCAUCAGGGUUUUAAUUCCUCAGUCCAGGCCAUUGUCUGCUGGGGAAGUUCUGGGCUGUACGGCUCCUAAAGUUUCUACUGCUGCGUUCGGUAAUAAUGGGGAGACUGUUGCGAUUUUUGUGGCCGAUGGGAGGUUUCAUUUGGAAGCUUUCAUGAUUGCGAAUCCUGGAAUUAGGGUUUUCCGGUAUGAUCCGUAUAUUGGUAAGUUAUUGCUUGAGGAGUAUGAUCAUGAAGGAAUGAAGGCGUCGAGAAAAGGCGCGAUUCUGAAGGCGAAGGAAGCUACAAAUUGGGGUAUUGUGUUGGGAACUUUAGGGAGGCAAGGGAACCCUAAAAUUUUGGAGAGAUUGGAAGAGAAGAUGAAGUCUAAAGGAUUUGAUUAUACUGUUGUAUUAAUGUCUGAAAUCAGUCCUUAUAGAGUGGCUUUGUUUGAGGAUUCGGUGGAUGCAUGGAUUCAGAUAGCUUGUCCCCGUCUUUCAAUUGACUGGGGAGAUGCUUUUGCUAAGCCUCUUCUUACUCCAUUUGAGGCUGAGGUAGCUCUUGGACUAAUUCCUGGUUGGUGGGAGAGGACGAGCUCAGCUAAAUUGAGUUGUAAUGAUUGUCGGGAAUGUGGAUGUAAUGGCGAUGAAAUAAAUAAGGCGGAAGCUGAAGGAGAAUAUCCUAUGGAUUAUUAUGCUCAGGAUGGUGGUGAAUGGAACUCUUCCUAUGUAAAGAAGAAAGUUUCUCGCCCCGUCCGGAGAGAUGUUUCCUGUAUCAGUGACAAAGCCAUUUCUUUACAUUAGCCUCUUCAAAUAAGAAAAUCAAAUUCUUCGGUAGAUGAAGCAACUCCCUUAUAGUUCAAGACAUGAUUAGGCUUUACAAGUUCUGGUGGACUAAAUUACUCCUCUUGGAGCUGUGGCUACUUAUUACCUCUUCAAUAGAAAACGAAAUAGAUUUCAUGAUGAUGAUGGACACACACAACAUUCUGGAAAUUGGGGUGGCGUUGAGGCAUCUUUUCGCAGGGAUGCACAUGCACGCACAAAAAGACGGAGAAAGUCAUGCACAUAUUGUGGUGCAUCUGUGCACGUGGUUGAUAAGUAUUAUAAAGUUGCAUGGAUAUCCUUCUGGUCAAACAGUGAAACAAUUCCUGAGGCAUCCUUUCUCUCACUUUGAGAGUAGUCGAGAUUUUCGUUUCACAGUAGUUAAAAAUGUUUUGGAAAUUCUAGCUUCUGCUGCCAUGGCUGAUUGAAAGAGUGUGUUCCACCGAGGGUUUUGUUCCACCGAGAGUUGUGUUCCAUCUCUCAGCCAAAAGCAGUGUCAGAACUCAAUCUUAAGUAUAAGUUACACAUUUUUCGACAUCUUACUAUAUUGUCAAAUCAUGAUAACAUUUUUGUUGCACAUGUUUGUGAAGCUCGAAUAUCAUACUGAAGAGUAUUCUUCUUUUGCCAAGUCUCAGCAUCCAUAUGUUGCUGUUUUCCAACCAAGUCUUCUUUAUUUGUGGACUUUUCUUGUGCUGGCUCAUGUUCUAAAUCAAUUGAGUUUGGAGAUGAAAGUCGUUGGCAAGAGUAGGGAAGAUGGGUGCAUUUAAUGUUUACAUGACUGCUUGAAAUUCUUUUGGGACAUAAAUAACUUAGGUCUUAGAAUUGCUUA
Cucumis sativus (cucumber) is the source of this 2294-nucleotide RNA transcript. It is a transcript of the gene named 2-(3-amino-3-carboxypropyl)histidine synthase subunit 1, with no coding region annotated. Lineage: Eukaryota; Viridiplantae; Streptophyta; Magnoliopsida; Cucurbitales; Cucurbitaceae. The transcript is spliced from 4 exons. The record is from RefSeq and is a predicted model, not a curated record.